This 253-nucleotide ribosomal RNA is filed under the name uncultured bacterium. RNAcentral's name for it is "partial 16S ribosomal RNA". It matches the Rfam family "Bacterial small subunit ribosomal RNA", at positions 524 to 776 of the family's 1533-position model. The record is from RNAcentral.
UACGAAGGGGGCUAGCGUUGCUCGGAAUCACUGGGCGUAAAGAGCUCGUAGGUGGUUUGUCGCGUUGUCCGUGAAAACUCACAACUCAAUUGUGGGCGUGCGGGCGAUACGGGCAGACUGGAGUACUGCAGGGGAGACUGGAAUUCCUGGUGUAGCGGUGGAAUGCGCAGAUAUCAGGGGGAACACCGGUGGCGAAGGCGGGUCUCUGGGCAGUAACUGACGCUGAGGAGCGAAAGCGUGGGGAGCGAACAGG